UCUCGUUAGAUCACCGAAGUCAAGCAUCAUUGGGCGCGGUCAGUACUUGGGUGGGUGACCACCUGGGAACACCGCGUGCUGUU
Non-coding RNA from Caerostris darwini, 83 nucleotides. Lineage: Eukaryota; Metazoa; Arthropoda; Arachnida; Araneae; Araneidae. The record is from the annotation of a GenBank genome assembly.